AAUAUUGCGCAAUGGAGGAAACUCUGACGGAGCAACGCCGCGUGAACGAUGAAGGACAUCGGGUCGUAACGUUCUGUUGUUAGGGAAGAACAAGUGCCAUUCGAAUAGGGUGGUACCUUGACGGUACCUAACCAUAAAGCAACGGCUAACUAAGUGCCAGCAGCCGCGGUAAUACGUAGGUGGCAAGCGUUGUCCGGAAUUAUUGGGCGUAAAGCGCGCGCAGGCGGUCUUUUAAGUCUGAUGUGAAAGCCCCCGGCUCAACCGGGGAGGGUCAUUGGAAACUGGGAGGCUUGAGUGCAGAAGAGGAAAGUGGAAUUCCAAGUGUAGCGGUGAAAUGCGUAGAGAUUUGGAGGAACACCAGUGGCGAAGGCGACUUUCUGGUCUGUUACUGACGCUGAGGCGCGAAAGCGUGGGGAGCAAAC
Molecule: ribosomal RNA, 422 nt
Filed under: uncultured bacterium
Lineage: Bacteria
Description: partial 16S ribosomal RNA
Rfam family: Bacterial small subunit ribosomal RNA
Source: RNAcentral